Molecule: long non-coding RNA, 1235 nt
Organism: Raphanus sativus (radish)
Lineage: Eukaryota; Viridiplantae; Streptophyta; Magnoliopsida; Brassicales; Brassicaceae
Exons: 2
Source: RefSeq, a predicted model, not a curated record
UAAUAUAAAUAAACUAAAUUUUUUAAUAAACAUAGUCAAUAUUUAAAUUAUACUUGAAAAUAAAAACCUUAGUUUACAAUGGGGUUUGAUGAAUUGUUUUUUUAAUAUUGGGUUUAAGCAAAAUGAGUCUUAAGCCCAUGAGUUAUAUUAAAAAAAUCCCAUAAGUUAUAUUCUAUGUAACACAAACCAAAGUCGAUUCCGAUCGUUGUUCAUAAAAAAAAAGUCUUCUACGAUCUAUGCCGAUUCAGCGACCAAAACCGGAGGACACCGCGGAUUCGUUGCUCUCCAAUAUGAACAUGUUCUCUUUUCUAUCUUUGUUCUUUUACGAAUUCAUAUGUCAACUGCGUAUUCAUUUGUCUUUGGCUUUAACUGGUGACCAUUAAAAUAGGAAUAUGAAUGAGUAGGAAAAAAAUUGCAGGAACAAAAUAAAAGAAAUGAAAAGAAAAAUUUAUUACUUUUGUUUUUGUUACACAUAACAAAAAUUCUUCAUAAAUGGUGUAAUUUUUAAGGAAUAGAUAGGAAUUGGUCAUUACCAUUAUUCAUAAAUGAUGUAAUUUUUAAGGAACGCAUAGGAAUUGGUCAUUCUUUUUGAUUCCUUAUAUCACCGGUUAGAGCUUUUUUGUUUAAUAUUUUAGUAGAAAUUAAAUCUGUUUGUUAAAUAUUCUUGUUUCCUAAUUAUUAUUUCAGGUUAGAUAUUUGAGACAAAACAUCACGAUUUACCAAACAGAGACCGAUUUAAAACAAAAAUACAUGGACGCGGCAAAGAAGAAUUGAUAAAGAAAGGGCCAUGGAAAGCCGAAGAAGACGAAGUGUUCAUCAAAGAUACGGUCCGCGUGAGUGGAGCUCAAUUCAAUCCAAAGGUCUUCUUCAACGCACCGGGAAAUCAUGCCGUCUCCGUUGGUUCAACAUACUCCGCCCAAUCUCAAAAAGUGGUUAUUCUUGGCGGAUGAAGAGAGAAUGGUGAUCGAAUUGCAGGAGGAGUUUGAUAAUCAGUUAUAGCAAUCCAAAACGUCAAACAAAUGAAUUCCUUAAGAGGAAGACAGGUAUUUUGAAAAUUUUAAAUAAAGAAAAAAAUAUAUUUCUGUUUGUUACCUUGGAUUUUUCAUUUUUCAGUUUGUGUGUGUGUGCGUUUUAGUUUCAGAGAUUUGCUUUGGUCGAGUUUGAUCUUGUUGAUAAUUAACAUUUGAGUUCGGCUCCCACUUUUGGCUAAUUUUAAAUAGUUCAGUUAAAAUUCA